GAACGCUAGCGGCAGGCUUAACACAUGCAAGUCGAGGGGUAUAGUAGCAAUACUAGAGACCCGGCGCACGGGUGCGUAACGCGUAUGCAAUCUACCUUUUGCAGGGGAAUAGCCCAGAGAAAUUUGGAUUAAUGCCCCCAUAGUAUAUAGACCUUGCAUGAGGAUUAUAUUAAAGUCACAACGGCAAAAGAUGAGCAUGCGUCCCAUUAGCUAGUUGGUAAGGUAACGGCUUACCAAGGCGACGAUGGGUAGGGGUCCUGAGAGGGAGAUCCCCCACACUGGUACUGAGACACGGACCAGACUCCUACGGGAGGCAGCAGUGAGGAAUAUUGGACAAUGGGCGCAAGCCUGAUCCAGCCAUGCCGCGUGCAGGACGAAGGCCUUCGGGUUGUAAACUGCUUUUGUACAGAACGAAAGGUCUCUAUUAAUACUGGGGGCUCAUGACGGUACUGUAAGAAUAAGCACCGGCUAACUACGUG
Molecule: ribosomal RNA, 479 nt
Filed under: uncultured bacterium
Lineage: Bacteria
Description: bacterial SSU rRNA
Rfam family: Bacterial small subunit ribosomal RNA
Source: RNAcentral